AACACGACUUUGAAAUGUAGCUCAAUGUGCAUGUUUUGUCUUACAGAGACACGAGGUGAGCUGGUUGCUGCUUUGAAAAAGAAGCACGUGGCCAUCCCUAUGAUAUUGGACUCAAGGUUCGAGAUUGAGAUGUCGCCAUCCCCUGCAGUGGGUGGCAAGUACAAGAAAAAAAGAAGACGGAGGACAAGACGUCCACUGUGUCGCUUGUGGAGCAUGCCUGACUGGUUGAAAAGCUGCGGUCGGCAAAGCAGAGGGUGGUGAACCUGGAGCAGGAGCUCCAGAUAGAGAGGACGCUACCAAGAAGCAACUGCUGGCACUACUGGUGGACAAAGUCCCGUCUGGCGGUGUUGGGUCAGCUCCUCCAGCUUGCCCAGCGGCAGUUCCUGCAGCUGGUGCUCCUGCUCCAGUUCACGUUGCGCGAGCUACCGGCCGCUGAUGCUGCUGUUCCAGCAGCGGUUCUUGUAGCAGGCCCACCGGAGGCACCUCCCGAGUGUGUGCCAGUGCUUGCAGAGGUCGAUGAUGAGGUUCACCUUGGCCACGGUGUCUUGGUGCGAAAGUACAAACUGUCCUACGUCAGGGGAGCCCGGGGAGACUCCAUCUUCGUUAAAGAGGCCA
Long non-coding RNA from Ixodes scapularis (black-legged tick), 615 nucleotides. RefSeq lists it as uncharacterized. NCBI's taxonomy places the organism in Eukaryota, Metazoa, Arthropoda, Arachnida, Ixodida, Ixodidae. The record is from RefSeq and is a predicted model, not a curated record. The transcript has 4 exons.